Molecule: ribosomal RNA, 117 nt
Filed under: uncultured bacterium
Lineage: Bacteria
Description: partial 16S ribosomal RNA
Rfam family: Bacterial small subunit ribosomal RNA
Source: RNAcentral
UACGGUGAAUACGUUCCCGGACCUUGUACACACCGCCCGUCAAGCCAUGGAAGCUGGGUGUACCUAAAGUCGGAUAACCGUAAGGAGUCGCCUAGGGUAAAACUAGUAACUGGGGCU